RNAcentral lists this ribosomal RNA (468 nucleotides) under uncultured bacterium. RNAcentral's name for it is "partial 16S ribosomal RNA". It matches the Rfam family "Bacterial small subunit ribosomal RNA", at positions 28 to 507 of the family's 1533-position model. The record is from RNAcentral.
GACGAACGCUGGCGGCGUGCUUAACACAUGCAAGUCGAACGGAAAGGCCCUGCUUUUGUGGGGUGCUCGAGUGGCGAACGGGUGAGUAACACGUGAGUAACCUGCCCUUGACUUUGGGAUAACUUCAGGAAACUGGGGCUAAUACCGGAUAGGAGCUCCUGCUGCAUGGUGGGGGUGGGAAAGUUUCGGCGGUUGGGGAUGGACUCGCGGCUUAUCGGCUUGUUGGUGGGGUAGUGGCUUACCAAGGCUUUGACGGGUAGCCGGCCUGAGAGGGUGACCGGCCACAUUGGGACUGAGAUACGGCCCAGACUCCUACGGGAGGCAGCAGUGGGGAAUAUUGCACAAUGGGCGGAAGCCUGAUGCAGCAACGCCGCGUGCGGGAUGACGGCCUUCGGGUUGUAAACCGCUUUCGCCUGUGACGAAGCGUGAGUGACGGUAAUGGGUAAUGAAGCACCGGCUAACUACGUG